This 510-nucleotide ribosomal RNA is filed under the name uncultured bacterium. RNAcentral's name for it is "partial 16S ribosomal RNA". It matches the Rfam family "Bacterial small subunit ribosomal RNA", at positions 28 to 507 of the family's 1533-position model. The record is from RNAcentral.
GACGAACGCUGGCGGCGUGCUUAACACAUGCAAGUCGAACGAAGAGCGAUGGACGCUUGCUUCUAUCAAUCUUAGUGGCGAACGGGUGAGUAACGCGUAAUCAACCUGCCCUUCAGAGGGGGACAACAGUUGGAAACGACUGCUAAUACCGCAUACGAUCUAAUCUCGGCAUCGAGGAUAGAUGAAAGGUGGCCUCUACAUGUAAGCUAUCACUGAAGGAGGGGAUUGCGUCUGAUUAGCUAGUUGGAGGGGUAACGGCCCACCAAGGCGAUGAUCAGUAGCCGGUCUGAGAGGAUGAACGGCCACAUUGGGACUGAGACACGGCCCAGACUCCUACGGGAGGCAGCAGUGGGGAAUCUUCCGCAAUGGACGAAAGUCUGACGGAGCAACGCCGCGUGAGUGAUGACGGCCUUCGGGUUGUAAAGCUCUGUUAAUCGGGACGAAAGGCCUUCUUGCGAACAGUUAGAAGGAUUGACGGUACCGGAAGAGAAAGCCACGGCUAACUACGUG